CUAUAUCACCACAAACAGAAACUAAAGCGUAUGGAAAGACGUACUAAAAAAGGUGACAGUCCUGUAGGCUAAAAAUGUAAUGUUGGUUGACUAAAAAUGUAAUGUUGGUUGAAUUCGACGUAUAUUGUCGAAUAAAAGGGAAACCUCUCUCAAGGCUAAAUAUUAUAUUAGGACCGAUAGUGAACAAGUACCGUGAGGGAAAUCUGAAAAGUCGUAGUAACUUAACUAUGUUGAAACAGAACCUGAAACUCGUAGCGAAUAAAGACACUCCGUUAAGCAAAGUUUAAUAGAGUGGUGCCUUUUGAAUCAUGCGCUGAUGACUUUGCGUUUGAUUGUGGUUUAACUUGCUAAAGGUAAGCCUCUUAAUAGAAAAAAAACAACUAACGCAAGACGCGAAGCAAAGAGAGCUUUUUUAAGCCAAGAUGAAGAUCCGCGAAAGGGGUUUGGAGGUCUAAAGCAGUUCACGUUGCAACGUGUUUGUAUGAGCUUAGAAAAGAAGNGAAAUACUAAACGCUCUUUACAAUAUCUCGUUUCUCACGAAACCUAUUUAGGCAGGGCGCUAAAAUAAA
RNAcentral lists this ribosomal RNA (569 nucleotides) under Monostroma latissimum. RNAcentral describes it as "partial 16S ribosomal RNA". It matches the Rfam family "Bacterial large subunit ribosomal RNA", at positions 311 to 891 of the family's 2925-position model. Lineage: Eukaryota; Viridiplantae; Chlorophyta; Ulvophyceae; Ulvales; Monostromataceae. The record is from RNAcentral.